Molecule: transfer RNA, 77 nt
Filed under: Candidatus Faecicola pullistercoris
Lineage: Bacteria; Bacillati; Bacillota; Clostridia; Eubacteriales
Also listed under: 1 other name
Description: tRNA-Pro
Rfam family: tRNA
About the family: Transfer RNA (tRNA) molecules are approximately 80 nucleotides in length.
Source: RNAcentral
CGAGGUGUAGCGCAGUUUGGUAGCGCGCUUGGUUCGGGACCAAGAGGUCGUGGGUUCGAAUCCCGUCACCUCGACCA